Argentina anserina (silverweed cinquefoil) is the source of this 1118-nucleotide long non-coding RNA. RefSeq lists it as uncharacterized. The record is from RefSeq and is a predicted model, not a curated record. The transcript is spliced from 4 exons. Lineage: Eukaryota; Viridiplantae; Streptophyta; Magnoliopsida; Rosales; Rosaceae.
CCUCGACAACAGUUGAACCCAAUCCAGAUUUCUCUCUCCCCGUACAGUUCAAACUUCAGAUCUUGUUGUCUUCUAGAUCGGUUGCCUGCUCCAGAGCAGCCAACACAGCGGCCGCCGGAACCAAAAAGCUCUCUUGCGUUUUCAAUAAAACAAGUCCCUUGAUCAUCUCUUUCUCUCACUCUCGCAGCAAUCAGUUAGCAAGAGAGAGGUCAUGGCUAUGAAAUUAGAAAUAGGGUUUCCGUACUGGAGAUCCCUCCGUCGUAAUUUUAGCUUUCGAUCAGCUUAUUACUAUUUCGUCAAUACCUAUAUCUAUUCUCCUCUCUCUUCUCUCCUCCUUUAUCUCUCGAAUGGGGUCACGCAAAUGGAUCUCUUGUAGCAAAUAAGUUCAGGCUGGGACGAAAGAUCGGUCUCCCAAAUGGUACGAGCCUAGCACCAAGGAGAUGUAGUGAAGGAGCUCCUGGUUUUUACCACCAAGGGAGCACUUACAUGAAGAAUCGGCUAUGGUCAAGGCUACUUAGGUCGCAUCUUCAUGGGAGAGGGUUGAAUAGAAUCUGGUGCCCUCACUCAUUGAUGUUCUCUAGCAUUAUCUCUUUUAUGGAAUUCAGGAAGUCUCUAUGCUCUGCUAGACCAGCUUUUAUGUGUAUCCACCUGCUGGGUUGCUAAUGAGAUUACACGCUGAUAUCAGUAUGUAUUGCUCCCAUUUACCCCCAAUAGAUACUGAUUUGCAUCAGUGUGCAUUGGGGAACUUUGUAGUAGUGGUGGUUGUUCGUCAUAAUCUUUAAAGAGGCUCUAGAUGAAGUGAGCAAUACUGUGUGUCACCUUGUUGCAACAAAUUCGUGGCAUAUCUGAAACAUGCAAGAACAGCUUGAUCGAGAAGAAUUACUGUGCAAAAGCAAGGUUCAUGUGAAACCCAGAAUUGAGGAUGUUUGUCUGUUAUUCCAAGAGCUACCAUGAGUAUCUUUCCAUAUCUUCUAGAAAAUGUUGUUGUCCAUGACCUUACGCGUUGUACUUUUUCUCUCCAACCAUUUUGGAGAAUAAUUUGUCUCACAAUCGUACUUAAUUGACUGAUUAGUAUAAGUAAUUAACAAAAUCUGUUUUCUGGAAAAUAAAAUUCAGUG